Molecule: transfer RNA, 87 nt
Filed under: Gammaproteobacteria bacterium
Lineage: Bacteria; Pseudomonadati; Pseudomonadota; Gammaproteobacteria
Also listed under: 1 other name
Description: tRNA-Leu
Rfam family: tRNA
About the family: Transfer RNA (tRNA) molecules are approximately 80 nucleotides in length. Their secondary structure includes four short double-helical elements and three loops (D, anti-codon, and T loops). Further hydrogen bonds mediate the characteristic L-shaped molecular structure. tRNAs have two regions of fundamental functional importance: the anti-codon, which is responsible for specific mRNA codon recognition, and the 3' end, to which the tRNAs corresponding amino acid is attached (by aminoacyl-tRNA synthetases). tRNAs cope with the degeneracy of the genetic code in two manners: having more than one tRNA (with a specific anti-codon) for a particular amino acid; and 'wobble' base-pairing, i.e. permitting non-standard base-pairing at the 3rd anti-codon position.
Source: RNAcentral
GCCAGAGUGGUGGAAUUGGUAGACACGACGGAUUCAAAAUCCGUUGCUUUUACGAGCGUGCCGGUUCAAGUCCGGCCUUUGGUACCA